AUCGCUUCUCGGCCUUUUGGCUAAGAUCAAGUGUAGUAGCAGUUUUUGGCCACAAAAGCCAAGCGUUCGAGAACGGAACAAUGGCUAUGACACCCCACGAACAGCCGAUCCCAAGGGUCGGGCUGAGAUAUA
Molecule: small nuclear RNA, 132 nt
Gene: U2
Rfam family: U2 spliceosomal RNA
About the family: U2 is a small nuclear RNA (snRNA) component of the spliceosome (involved in pre-mRNA splicing). Complementary binding between U2 snRNA (in an area lying towards the 5' end but 3' to hairpin I) and the branchpoint sequence (BPS) of the intron results the bulging out of an unpaired adenosine, on the BPS, which initiates a nucleophilic attack at the intronic 5' splice site, thus starting the first of two transesterification reactions that mediate splicing.
Source: Ensembl